This 29-nucleotide non-coding RNA is filed under the name Callithrix jacchus (white-tufted-ear marmoset). The record is from RNAcentral. RNAcentral also lists the same sequence under 1 other name. Lineage: Eukaryota; Metazoa; Chordata; Mammalia; Primates; Cebidae.
UAAAAUUUCUGAGGAGUGCAUCGCACAGU